AGGGUUCGAUUCUGGCUCAGGAUGAACGCUGGCGGCGUGCCUAACACAUGCAAGUCGAGCGAGAAACCUUUCAAUGAAGCUUCGGUAGAUUUGAGAGGCGGAAAGCGGCGGACGGGUGAGUAACGCGUAGGCAACCUGCCCCUUGCAGAGGGAUAGCCUCGGGAAACCGGGAUUAAAACCUCAUAAAGCCUUUGAAGCACAUGCUUUGAAGGUCAAAGAUUUAUCGGCAAGGGAUGGGCCUGCGUCUGAUUAGCUAGUAGGUGGGGUAACGGCCUACCUAGGCGACGAUCAGUAGCCGACCUGAGAGGGUGAUCGGCCACAUUGGAACUGAGACACGGUCCAA
RNAcentral lists this ribosomal RNA (343 nucleotides) under uncultured bacterium. RNAcentral's name for it is "bacterial SSU rRNA". It matches the Rfam family "Bacterial small subunit ribosomal RNA", at positions 8 to 334 of the family's 1533-position model. The record is from RNAcentral.